Regulatory RNA element from Nocardioides sp. CF8, 129 nucleotides. It matches the Rfam family "ALIL pseudoknot". Lineage: Bacteria; Bacillati; Actinomycetota; Actinomycetes; Propionibacteriales; Nocardioidaceae. The record is from Rfam.
GGCUUUCUUCGCGGCGGAGCUCGACCGCCCCAACCGGUACUGAUCGACUUCAUCGAGAACCACAAGGACGAGUUCGGGGUCGAGCCGAUCUGCCGGGUGCUCAGCGAGCACGGCGCCAAGAUCGCCCCG